AUCUUGCUUCCCUUUUACUUCCAAAUUUCAAGUAAAACCCAUAAGGACAAUAUCACCAUCUUUAAUUAAUUAAUUAAUUAACGACUGUGCCUGUGGCACGCAGAAGUUACAGGCCACGGAUCAAACCCGCAUUACUUCAGUGACUCAAGCCACAGCAGUGAGACAUCACAUCCUUAACUGUUAGGCCACCAGAGAACUCCAUUGCCAGCUUUAAACAGCUCCUCAGCUCAAUGAGUUUUCUCUCCAAAAUCAUAUGUAGGAGUUCCCAUCAUGGCAAAGAAAUGAAUCCGACUAGGAACCAUGAGGUUGCAGGUGUGAUCCCUCGCUUCGCUCAGUGGGUUGGGUAUCCAGCAUUGCCAUGAGAUGUGUAGGCUGCAGACAUGGCUCGGAUCCCACAUUGCUGUGUCUGUGGUGCAGGCUGGCAGCUGUAGCUCCAAUUAGACCCCUAGCCUGGGAACCUCCAUAUGCCGUGGGUAUGGCCAUAAAUAGACACAUAAAUGUGGAAAAUUAAAUCUACCCAGUCACCCAUUCUAGCAACCUGAGAGUCAGAACAAGCCUCCUCCUUCUCCCAUACUCAUUUAUCACCAAGCCCUGACAUAUAUUUUCUUAUAAAUGAUUCUCAAUUCAUACCUCUUCUAUGUAUCUACUCAUCUAUGCUAGUCUUCCUGAUCUUCAUUAUCUUUUGCCUGAAAGAAAACAGCCUCCCAAGCUUCAAAUGCAUCCACUGUGAUCCAUUCUCGAUCCAGAUGCCAGUGAAGGGCUUCAACUAGCAUGUCAAAGCCCCCCAUGCUCCUGCUUACCAUCCUUCAUUGCUUUGAAAAUAAAGGUAAUGGACUUUAGCUUCUCUACAAAAUCUUCUCCCUCAUCCAGCAUGUUCUUUGACUCUCUCCUUUCUCCAAAAUUGCUCCCAGGCAUUCUCUGGUCUGGAUCAGAAUGGCUAAUUUCUUUCAUCAUGACUUAUUUCAGACUAGAGGCAAAUGCAUUUCUGUCGAGUUCAGACCUGAAGAUGGAGUGUUCAUCACAACCUGUCUAUAUAGGGUCAAUCAUUCUUGACCUUAUUUGUUAGCAAUAAUGACAGG
This 1079-nucleotide long non-coding RNA is filed under the name Sus scrofa (pig). RNAcentral's name for it is "lncRNA (ENSSSCG00000059378.1, ENSSSCG00160005595.1, ENSSSCG00175017253.1)". The record is from RNAcentral. Lineage: Eukaryota; Metazoa; Chordata; Mammalia; Artiodactyla; Suidae.